AUGUCUUUGCUUAUUUGUGCGGGAUCUGGGUCAGUGUUAGUCAUUCUUGUGACUCAUGGUUGUUACCAUUGCCUUUUUUGGGUUGUUCAUAGUUUAUGUGUUCUGGUCUUUGUGAAUCUUUGUAUGGAUACUUAUUAUGUAUUGGAAACAGUAAACAGUAUUUGCUGUCUGGAACUACAACCUAAAUUAUGUUUAUCAAGGGCUGUACUAUUAAAUUACAUUAUACCAUUAUAUGAUACAUUUAAGUUUUUAAGAAGGCUACUGCUAUUGUUGUUAACAUGGGAAAGUUCUAUGAUUGGUUUCAAAAUUUUAAAGGAGUUCUAG
Molecule: non-coding RNA, 324 nt
Organism: Vicia faba (fava bean)
Lineage: Eukaryota; Viridiplantae; Streptophyta; Magnoliopsida; Fabales; Fabaceae
Source: the annotation of a GenBank genome assembly